Molecule: transfer RNA, 74 nt
Filed under: Candidatus Jorgensenbacteria bacterium RIFCSPHIGHO2_02_FULL_45_20
Lineage: Bacteria; Candidatus Joergenseniibacteriota
Also listed under: 1 other name
Description: tRNA-Gly
Rfam family: tRNA
About the family: Transfer RNA (tRNA) molecules are approximately 80 nucleotides in length. Their secondary structure includes four short double-helical elements and three loops (D, anti-codon, and T loops). Further hydrogen bonds mediate the characteristic L-shaped molecular structure. tRNAs have two regions of fundamental functional importance: the anti-codon, which is responsible for specific mRNA codon recognition, and the 3' end, to which the tRNAs corresponding amino acid is attached (by aminoacyl-tRNA synthetases). tRNAs cope with the degeneracy of the genetic code in two manners: having more than one tRNA (with a specific anti-codon) for a particular amino acid; and 'wobble' base-pairing, i.e. permitting non-standard base-pairing at the 3rd anti-codon position.
Source: RNAcentral
GCGGUCAUGGUUUAGUGGUAGAAUGCGACCUUGCCAAGGUCGAGACGGGAGUUCGAUUCUCCCUGACCGCACAA